Molecule: long non-coding RNA, 1762 nt
Organism: Capsicum annuum
Lineage: Eukaryota; Viridiplantae; Streptophyta; Magnoliopsida; Solanales; Solanaceae
Exons: 3
Source: RefSeq, a predicted model, not a curated record
UUUAACCCAUCCAAAUGAAAUAGAAUACGCCCGUUUGACACCUAAUCCCAAGACACAAUUCGAGAUUUUCCUAAGCUACAGAUGGAAAUUGAAAACAUCCUCGUGUUCCAGAUCUUCAAAAUCAGAAGAAUGAUUUGAGAUUGGGCAUUUUUAUCUAUGACAUUCAAUAUUCUCACAAACGUUAUGAAAUUAACCCAAGUGAAGACUUCUUCCAUCAACUCGAUUCCGACUUGUACAAAUCAACAAGAUGAGUAAUUUUCCUUUUCAGUUGCUGUACAAUUUGGAAGUAACUAUCAAUUUCUUAUCAAUUUUAACUUCUUGACAGAUUGAGCUUACUUUUAAGCUAAUACCAUUGCCUAAGAGAGUAAAAUCAACAAUCCAUCGAUGUCUGACCUUAAUCGUCUCUGCAGCAGUUCUCAACCCACUAAUCGUCUCCAGACGUUGUAUCCCCACACGAUGCAAGCAUCGAAGAUACUUCUACCUUUCCAGCGCAAAGUUAGAUGGAUCAACUCGAUGCAUCGGUUUGUUGUGGUAAAGUGAGUCAGAAACUUGUCCCAACCAAGACUGGUUUUUAAUUCUUUUGUUAGAAGACUUUGUAGGAUUACUGUGGAUAUGGGUGAUAUUGGUAGGUUGUUUUGCUAGUUAUCAGUUGUCGGUUAUAGAAAUGAUUUAAAUUUUACUAAGCUUAUUCUUAUUCUAUCUUGUUAUAUGUUUGAAAUUCAUCCAACAUUGGGGAUGUUGUGUUCACUUGGUUAGGUACAGGGGGUGGUCUCCAAUCCAUGUAGGACUACAGAUAUACAUCAGGGCUAGGCCCUGCUUUGGAUCAUGAAAAAGUUUAUAUCAGAGCCUAGGUUUGGUGUUAUUGGGUGUCCAUAAAGCCGUGUCAAGUAGUCUCUUUUAUUGCUAUGUAGCACACCACACUUAUAAUGAAGAAGCUACGAGAUGUUUAGGAAUGUUUCCCUUGUUUUAUUUCAAGCUAUUCUAAGGUUUUGAAAUCUCCUCUAAUUCCUGCAUGUUCACGUUUCAAAUCAUGCCUCCUAGAAGAUCUGAUGCUAGGGGAAACUCUUCCAUCCCGUCCGAGGAUAAUGUGGACAAAGCUCAUCCUACUCUUAGGGUUCAGCCCAGGUAUAGAGUCGCUACUUCUGAAUUCCUUAAUGGAACUCAACGGAUUCCCCCUAUCCCUUCUUGAGCACCUCAAGCUGAUGUGUCUACUGUUGAGUUUUGCCAGUCGAUUCAUUUGCUUACCCAGUUGGUGGCCUCUCUGUAUUUCCAUCUUCUGAGGUUACUUAAGUUGGCAAAUUUAUGAGGCUGUCCUUUGACUUUCACUAGUUCUUAAGGUUAGAAAGAUCCUCAAAAUUUCAUUAAUAAGAUGGAAAAGAUUUUCCAUGUGAUGCAUGCUACCGAUGUGGAGGGUGUAGAGUGUGUUUCCUGUAAGUUAAAGGAUGUGACAUAUCAGUGGUAUGAGGAAUAGGAUCAGUCUAGGGGUAAUGAUACUGAGUCCACUUUGUGGGACGACUUCUCUAGUGCUUUUCUUGAUCUCUUCUUUCCUUAUGAGUUGAGGGAGGCGAGGGCUGAGGAAUUCUUGAACUUGAAACAAAGAAGGAUGAUAGUAAAGAAGUAUGCCUUGAAGUUCCAUCAGCUGUCACGAUAUGCUCUGGAAUUGGUGUCUAGCACGAAGGCUAAAAUGAGGAAGUUUACAUUUGGGUUAUCCCGUGAGUUGAUCUUGGAGAGUAAGGUUGCCUUAUUGAACAAAGAUAUAGUU